UGUGCACUGGUGGGGUCCCUCAGCCUGGCCUGCUCUCGCAAUACGGGACCCCUUGGGGGAUGUCAGACAGCCGCUUUUGGCCUGAUCCUGCAGGCCAGGCUGAGGGACCCCACUGGUGCAUG
Molecule: microRNA precursor, 122 nt
Filed under: Myotis brandtii (Brandt's bat)
Lineage: Eukaryota; Metazoa; Chordata; Mammalia; Chiroptera; Vespertilionidae
Description: mir-9193 microRNA precursor family
Rfam family: mir-9193 microRNA precursor family
Source: Rfam by way of RNAcentral